AACGUAGGAGGCGAGCGUUAUCCGGAUUUACUGGGCGUAAAGCGCGCGCAGGCGGCUUGGCAAGUCGGACGUGAAAGCUCCUGGCUUAACUGGGAGAGGUCGUUCGAAACUGUUGGGCUUGAGGUUGGGAGAGGGGUGUGGAAUUCCCGGUGUAGUGGUGGAAUGCGUAGAUAUCGGGAGGAACACCAGUGGCGAAAGCGGCACCCUGGCCCACACCUGACGCUGAGGUGCGAAAGCGUGGGGAGCAAACAGG
RNAcentral lists this ribosomal RNA (253 nucleotides) under uncultured bacterium. Its description in RNAcentral is "partial 16S ribosomal RNA". It matches the Rfam family "Bacterial small subunit ribosomal RNA", at positions 524 to 776 of the family's 1533-position model. The record is from RNAcentral.